GUUGUCCGACUCUGUUGCCUCCGGGGCGACCCUGCCUUCGGGCGGGGGCUCCGGGUGGACACUUCAAACUCUUGCGUAACUUUGCAGUCUGAGUAAACUUAAUUAAUAAAUUAAAACUUUUAACAACGGAUCUCUUGGUUCUGGCAUCGAUGAAGAACGCAGCGAAAUGCGAUAAGUAAUGUGAAUUGCAGAAUUCAGUGAAUCAUCGAAUCUUUGAACGCACAUUGCGCCCCCUGGUAUUCCGGGGGGCAUGCCUGUUCGAGCGUCAUUUCACCACUCAAGCCUCGCUUGGUAUUGGGCAACGCGGUCCGCCGCGUGCCUCAAAUCGACCGGCUGGGUCUUCUGUCCCCUAAGCGUUGUGGAAACUAUUCGCUAAAGGAUGUUCGGGAGGCUACGCCGUAAAACAACCCCAUUUCUAAGGUUGACCUCGGAUCAGGUAGGGAUACCCGCUGAACUUAAGC
RNAcentral lists this ribosomal RNA (461 nucleotides) under Cladosporium tenuissimum. RNAcentral describes it as "eukaryotic LSU rRNA". The stretch from base 115 to 268 matches the Rfam family "5.8S ribosomal RNA". Lineage: Eukaryota; Fungi; Ascomycota; Dothideomycetes; Cladosporiales; Cladosporiaceae. The record is from RNAcentral.